Molecule: transfer RNA, 74 nt
Filed under: Candidatus Omnitrophota bacterium
Lineage: Bacteria; Pseudomonadati; Candidatus Omnitrophota
Description: Candidatus Omnitrophica bacterium (sediment metagenome) tRNA-His
Rfam family: tRNA
About the family: Transfer RNA (tRNA) molecules are approximately 80 nucleotides in length.
Source: RNAcentral
GUGGCUAUAGCUCAAUUGGUCAGAGCAUUAGACUGUGGCUCUAAGGGUUGCGGGUUCGAGCCCCGUUAGCCACC